Long non-coding RNA from Archocentrus centrarchus (flier cichlid), 1449 nucleotides. RefSeq lists it as uncharacterized. The transcript has 4 exons. The record is from RefSeq and is a predicted model, not a curated record. Lineage: Eukaryota; Metazoa; Chordata; Actinopteri; Cichliformes; Cichlidae.
AUUGCACAGAGAUGUGGGUGUUGCACAGUUACGGUGGGUGAGUGUGAGAGUUCAGGGUGGUGAUUGCUCUGACGAAGAACCUGUUCUUGAGUCUGUUUGUUCUGGCAACCGUGUAAAACAAGUGAUUGGCAACUUUAGUUAAGAUCACACGCUCAUGGGCUCCAUUUCAGAUACAGAUGUCAAUGCUGGAUUGAUUGGGGAGGCGGAUAUUGUAACAGGACUGGGCUCAGCUUCUAAGGGCAGCAAGCUAGUGGAAAGCCAAAGAUAGAAUCUCCGUGGUGCAACCUCAAUAGGAAAACAUCUCACAGUUGACAGAAGUGACAACCCUGCCCCAAAUUUUGUCACAUAAGUUAUUAAAAAUAGGUGAGUAUGUUUACUAUGUUUGUUUUAUUAAUUUAAAAAAAUCUGUCUUUCAGGAGGUAAAGGUGUUAUUGGAGCUCGCAUACCAAUACGCAGAAGGACGUGGAGAAAUGAGAGGAGGUGCAGGGGCCUAUACACUAGGGUUCUUUUGUAAAACAUUUACACCUGUGUUAGAAUUAUUAACCUUAAUAAAACAUUUACAGUCAUGUCAGAGUUAUUGACCUUAAUAAAAUAAGUUUUUUGUUUUUUUUAAACUGGAUUUUAUUGAACAAUAAAAUGUCUAGUAAUGAUUAUUUUAGAGAUUUAAAUGCAGCUUUAGCCUUGUUAGAGGGUGAAAAUAGAGAGAACGCUAGUCAAUCCAAUCCUGAAAUCAUCUCUUUGACUCCUGUUAUUGAUGCUGUGAACUCUUUCAACUGGCUACAACUAUUGGACCCCCAACUCUCCCCGUGUUGAUAAUACAUGAGAUAACCCUAUUGAACCCCCUCAAAAUCAGACACCCAGUCAUGAUACAUUUGAUGUUUUUGAUGCUAUCGAUAAUGUUCUAGCUCAAUUACAGUCUAACCAACAACCUAUACUGUCUGAAUUAAUAGCCUGUUAAAGCAGAGACCCCGUGAAAAUCCCUGUCCUUACUGUAAGGACGGCAAUUGCAGUGAGAUCAGCAAAUGCACUGGGCUUGACAUGCAUGGAGUUCUGCUCCUGAUUUAUACUGUGUGUAGUUAAGUUAUAGUUUUAUUAAAAAGGCCCAUCAAGGCCAAACUGUUAUAAUCUCUUGUGGUUUUCUGUCCUACUCUCUUACCUCUGCUGAUUUUACUAGUACAGUCUACUAUAUUGCAAUGAAAUGCAGUAUAUUCUUUCAUUUGGGACAGAUCACAUAUUUUUAAAUGACUAUGCAUAGUAUAUUUACAUAUUUGGUAUUGCUGGAUUUAGAAAAUAAGCACAUUAAUUCAACAAGCCUACUGUGUUAUAUGACAAUACAUGCGACAUAAUAAAACUUGGGACUGAAGACUCAAUUUUGUCAAUACUUUUCAGUUGGGGCACUUCAUACAUUAAGUGACUUAACACCCUGAUUAUGCAGGCCAUAUUUACAUA